This is a long non-coding RNA of Magnolia sinica, 3335 nucleotides long. RefSeq lists it as uncharacterized. Lineage: Eukaryota; Viridiplantae; Streptophyta; Magnoliopsida; Magnoliales; Magnoliaceae. The transcript has 2 exons. The record is from RefSeq and is a predicted model, not a curated record.
UGAACUUGUGCUAAAUGGUGUCGAAUUUUUUAUGAAUGCCAGUGGUGGUCAUCAUCAACUGAGAAAGCUUGACCUUUGCCUUGGUGUUAUUAAAAGUGCUACCCUUAUUAGUGGAGGAGUUUACAUGUACAGCAAUCACUAGGGAUGCGAUGGUGGCUGGCUUUAUUAUGGAUACUACAUUCUGAAGAGGUGGACAAGGUAUUGAAUGGUGGAUUCUAUUCAUGAUGAUAGUGAUGUUGGAAUUAAGCCAAAUUCAGAUCAAUCUACCUUAAAUAUGUGGUUUACUUCUCGAUGAAGAGGCUUCCUCGAAACAAGGGUAUCGCUUAGUUAGAGAAAAGAUGAAUGAAGUUUUGAAAGAGGUAUGUGCUCUAGAAGUAGAUCCAUGUGCAGUAAAUGGAAGAAUAUUGAUGAAAAUGGUAACUAGAUGAAACCAAGUGAACAUUAAAGAUCCGGAUGAAGCAAAGAUAGAGAAGUGGAAAGAGAAUGAUUUCAACGGGAGAGAAGUUAAAAAAAAAAAAAAAGGAUUAAAGAAAGAUGUAAUGGUUGUGGCAAGCAUGGUCAUAAGCACUACUUAUAUAAUUGUCAGGUAGAUUCAACCACAAUAAUGCUUCUGACAAUAGUGCCUCUGAUGAAUCGGAAGGUAUGAUGAUUAUUUUUAUAAUUCAUAUAUGUAUAGUUGUAUUGCAAAAGGUUGCAUUCUUUGAUUAUUAUAGCUAAUCUCUCUCCUUGACAAUGACUAGAUUGGAGCUUGGCCAACAAGUUCAACUGGUCAAAGUUCUUUAUCUCUCAUUACAUAUUCUAAGUAUCCAUGGUAUUUUGAAUUUUUUAUUUUUCAAUUGCAAUCAAAGUUUGGUAUGCCAUUGUAUCAUGCUAUGAACCUUUUGAGAGAAGUUGUAUCAUGCUGUGAAUCUAUGAUUAGAUCUACUUAACUGAAGACACUAGUUAGGUGACAAUGUUCUUUUCUUUUUUUUUUUGUAGCUAACAGUUGUCUGCGAUGGACUUUAGUGCAUGUUUACAAAUGCGAACAGAAAUACUAUCCUUGUGUGUUCCUCUACAAAUUCAGUUAAAGAGUUAUUUGUUAAAUAAAAAGCAAACCACAGCACAAUAUGGAUCUCCAGGCCAGCAUCAUCUAUUCUGAUUUCAUUCCCAUAACCCUGUUGAAGCCCGGUAUCAUUCAUUCUGAUUUUUUUGUUGUCACAAAAUUGAUGGUACAUGCACAUGUUUCCCUGUAGUGUGGUUUUAUUAUUGAUAUUUGAAGAUUUUGAUACCCUUAUGUGGAUGAGACUUUCAAUUUUCAAUGCCAUAGCCGUGCAUUUGGCUUGAACGCAAAAACAAUACUAAUAUCCAUGAUAGAAAAGGAACUUGUGUGUUGGCGGUAGCUCCUUUAUGUUUGAGUGACAUACCCAGGUUGUGGUCAUUUCAUUGCUUCAGCCCUUGGUGAGCUUUCAUAAUCUAAUUUUCCUUUUCCCCCUUCUUCCAAUAAGAUGACAAAGAAACAAGUAUGACACACUUGUAUGAAUCGAUGACAUGUUGAUGCAGUAGAAUGAUUGAUGCAUGAGACACCCAGUCUGUUCAGUUUUCGUGGUUAUUUUUUUUAUUUUUUUUUUGCAAUGGGGCCUCUACCGGUAGUUUUAUAGAAAAUGAAAACAUCUCUUUUUCUAUGAAAGCAAGACCUUUAAAAAAAAUGGAAAAUGCACAGAACUCAAGCAGGGAGUUCAGAUAUUUUACCAGCGCAAGUAUCUGACACAACUUUGGUUCAGGAAAACCCAGCUCCACAAAGAAAAACAGACAAGGACCACUAAAAAUGCAAUCAUUGAUUGUCAGAGAAAAAAAAUCAAAGAACACAAAUAAAAUGCACAAUUAGAACAUAUUCCUAGGUGAUAAAAAUUAGUUACAGACCUUGAAUAGGCAAUAUUUAGAUGUCUGGCUUAAUAUAAUCCUUCAGAAUUCUGCACACAAAAAAAAGGACAAAAAUAUAAAAAGUUGCCAUUUUAACAAUAGAACUGUUAAAAUCUCAAAGCUUUAGUAGAGAAUUGUAAAUAUACAAAAGAAAACUCAUUUACACAAGCUGCUUACACAAUCCAUCUAAGAAGAACAUGAGAACAGACCUGGUUCUUUGAACAUGAGAACGGUCUGGCCCUAUAUAGAGUGGAACUGCUGAACAAGAUUCAUGUAACCGGCCCCAAAUUGGGAUUAGCUAAGAUGAUGAUAUAACUUCUAUUGGUCUUUAACAAAAACACAUCUUUUACAAUUUCUCAAAGAAAAUAUCAAAAUCAAGGUUGUUUUUCUUCAAACAAACCCCAAAUAAAAUCCUGUACUUUUGUAGCAAUAUUGCAGUUAAAAAUAAAAAAUAAAACUAGUGAAAAGAGAAGAAAGCUUUUGAAACCUGAGCCAUAUAAAAAACUGAUUUUAGAAUGUAAUAUUUCAGAGAAAAUUCGUUUCACCAAGCUGCUGCUUCUUAAAAUAUAGAACAAUUAAAUACAUAGGACAGAGUUCAAAAGAAGGCUUUGUAUGGGGAUCCCUUUAUCUUCAAUAAUUCAGCUGUUUAAAUAUGAGAUGCUUCUUUUCAGUUCGAAUCAGUUGUGAUUGUUUGGUAUUCAUGACUUGAAAUCAAAUUUAAAUGAUGUUUCUCUAUGACGUGCAGGAAAUAGAAAGCGAAGAUGAUAGUCAAGUAAGAGCAAGGCCUGAUGAUCUUGCGAAAGAAUUGAAGAAAAAAGGAACUUCCAAAAUUUUAGUUGAUCUCAUUUUUAGUUGUCGUUAUAAGAGAGCCAUAUGAGACACGUGGCAAAGAACCAACAGAGCAAUCUCCCCGAGCUAUUGAUGUGUAUACCACCAGAGAAGCCAAGCUGAGCAAGGGAACUGAUGACCAAGCUAAACCAGUCAACCGAGCUUAGUAAUAAAAUUCAUCGACCAACCUGAUCAUCUUGAGCAAGCUAUCUUACUGACCUCGACCUUAAAUACUGACAUCGACCUCAACCUCGUAAUAGAAAUAUCCAGAGAGAAUCUCACGUUGUAUAAUUGUAGGAUCGAUACGAUGAGAUCCUAGCCGAAAAUCAUGCCAAUGGAGGCAAAAUUGGAGAUGUUCUUGAGAAUAGACUCCCACUCCAAUAUGGGCUCCUUUAGCAUAUCUAGCGGAUCCACUCAAAUACACAAACUGCCUAGAAAACCUAUAAAUACAUCACCCCACUUGAAGAAAAAUGUAUGCACAAAAAUCCUAACUCUAACUGCAUCUACUCAAAGUUCUUCUACCUGACUUUGGCAUCGGAGGGUCCUCGGCCACAACCGACACUCCCAUUAUCCGUUGUCUUUUCUAUUAAGUGCAGGUGUUCAUAGUC